AUUGAACGCUGGCGGCAGGCCUAACACAUGCAAGUCGAGCGGAUGAAGGGAGCUUGCUCCUGGAUUCAGCGGCGGACGGGUGAGUAAUGCCUAGGAAUCUGCCUGGUAGUGGGGGAUAACGUCCGGAAACGGGCGCUAAUACCGCAUACGUCCUGAGGGAGAAAGUGGGGGAUCUUCGGACCUCACGCUAUCAGAUGAGCCUAGGUCGGAUUAGCUAGUUGGUGGGGUAAAGGCCUACCAAGGCGACGAUCCGUAACUGGUCUGAGAGGAUGAUCAGUCACACUGGAACUGAGACACGGUCCAGACUCCUACGGGAGGCAGCAGUGGGGAAUAUCGGACAAUGGGCGAAAGCCUGAUCCAGCCAUGCCGCGUGAGUGAAGAAGGUCUUCGGAUUGUAAAGCACUUUAAGUUGGGAGGAAGGGCAGUAAGUUAAUACCUUGCUGUUUUGACGUUACCAACAGAAUAAGCACCGGCUAACUUCGUG
This 484-nucleotide ribosomal RNA is filed under the name uncultured bacterium. RNAcentral describes it as "partial 16S ribosomal RNA". It matches the Rfam family "Bacterial small subunit ribosomal RNA", at positions 30 to 507 of the family's 1533-position model. The record is from RNAcentral.